GCGUGCUUCCAGACUCUGACCCAUAUCUGCAUUUUAUUGAACAAAUGAAUUUGGCUACUAAAGACUGAUCCUGGGAUGACAUGUUAGAUAUUCCUUCAACCAAGAAUAGAUAACAGGGCAGGAACCAAAAAUUUCCUGGUGCCUCACUCCAAGUUGCAAUAUCAGCUCUUGUCAUAAAGAUAGGAUCAACGCUGAAGGAAGCAAUGAGAUCCAGAAACAAACCUAUGGGAAUUGAUUUAACUUCAUAGACGUUAUGUUAAGACUUCAGACUUUGUUUGGAAUCAGAACUGCAUAGAAUAGUUUUGGAGUCUGUGUCCUGUGCCCAGGGGCUGGUGGCCCAGUGUCUGUUGUUGAUGCUUAGUGUCUUUAAUGAUUCUCCCCUACUCCACACCACAGGGAUGGACUCUUG
RNAcentral lists this long non-coding RNA (409 nucleotides) under Mus caroli (Ryukyu mouse). RNAcentral's name for it is "lncRNA (MGP_CAROLIEiJ_G0006200.1)". Lineage: Eukaryota; Metazoa; Chordata; Mammalia; Rodentia; Muridae. The record is from RNAcentral.